RNAcentral lists this ribosomal RNA (125 nucleotides) under Golenkinia longispicula. Lineage: Eukaryota; Viridiplantae; Chlorophyta; Chlorophyceae; Chlamydomonadales; Golenkiniaceae. The record is from RNAcentral.
AAACUCCGGUGCUCCAUGCCUGGCUGGAACCACGCCGAUCCAUCCCGAACUCGGCAGUGAAACGAACAGGGGGAAAGAAAAACUCGUCGGGGAGCUGACGGGAAACUCUUUCCUAGUGCCGGGGU